UACGGAGGGUGCGAGCGUUGUCCGGAAUCACUGGGCGUAAAGGGCGCGUAGGUGGCGCGGGCAGUCAACGGUGAAAGUUCGGGCUCAACCCUGAAUCGGCCGUCGAUACUCCCGUGCUUGAGCACUGUAGAGGCAGAUGGAAUUCCGGGUGUAGCGGUGGAAUGCGUAGAGAUCCGGAAGAACACCGGUGGCGAAGGCGGUCUGCUGGGCAGUAGCUGACACUGAGGCGCGACAGCGUGGGGAGCAACAG
This 250-nucleotide ribosomal RNA is filed under the name uncultured bacterium. RNAcentral describes it as "partial 16S ribosomal RNA". It matches the Rfam family "Bacterial small subunit ribosomal RNA", at positions 524 to 774 of the family's 1533-position model. The record is from RNAcentral.